AGAAAACUACCUCUGGCACUUUCUCUGCCCUGGAGUGGGAAUCAAGACAAUGACUGUAGUCCAGGAAAGCCUUAGAGCUGCUGCCAACUAGUAACAAGUUCAAGCCUUCCACCCACCCUCGUUCCAGAACAGAUUCACAGCAGCCUGAUGUCUGGUGAAGCACAUCAUGCCCUGGUGGGCAGAAGAGCACUGCCAUACUUGUGACCCCAUUCGCUCAAGGAGGAGUUACAGAAAGCAGCACAUUGGGGAGAGGAAGCUGUAAGCAAACCCUGUUUAUCAGAACAAGCAGAUGGCCCCCAGCAUGGAGACCUGGCUGCACUGCUGCUGCUCUCUGUCUAGCCUUUGGACUGCUGGGCCCAUGAGGUUUAGCCCUGCCUCGUAGCCACCAGCAUGGGAUUCACCUUCUGCCUGCCUGUCAGGCCAGGCGCACCUCACACUCACAGUGAAUGCCUCCAGUCUUCCUUUCCAAACACACGGGGAAGUGAUGGCAGCUCCUUUCCCCUCCGGAGCUCGCAGAGGCUCUCGCUGGCCUGAGGAGUUGGACUGUUCGCAGG
This is a long non-coding RNA of Pogoniulus pusillus (Red-fronted tinkerbird), 554 nucleotides long. RefSeq lists it as uncharacterized. The record is from RefSeq and is a predicted model, not a curated record. The transcript has 3 exons. NCBI's taxonomy places the organism in Eukaryota, Metazoa, Chordata, Aves, Piciformes, Lybiidae.